Molecule: long non-coding RNA, 2628 nt
Organism: Sciurus carolinensis (gray squirrel)
Lineage: Eukaryota; Metazoa; Chordata; Mammalia; Rodentia; Sciuridae
Exons: 3
Source: RefSeq, a predicted model, not a curated record
UGUUUGCGCGCAUGAUCACCUGCUUCUCUUCUCUUGUUGCCAUGGGUUACAGAGCCCAUAGCCUGAUGGUGGGGCCAACCACUCAGAGUGGAAAUAACAGUGUCAGCCUCUGAAAACAAGAAAUUAGAAAUAGGGAGCAGGGAAACAAUAGCAAAAGAACAAAAAUCAGCAUCCCAAGGCAACCUGACUGUGUGCAGGGAAGCCAGGCAGCCCAAAGGAGACCAGCUCUUCAUAAAUCCAGCCCUCACCAGACAGGGCAUUUUAGAAAGUGAUGAGGAGGAAAGAAUGAGAGCCAUCUCAACCAGUGUUGUGCCUCCACGUGCCUGGGCCUGAGGUGUGAAUUGACGAGCCACCUUGGAGAAGAAUAAGCAAAGUCUGAGUGAAAAAAAGGAGAAAGGAAGACUCGAACAAUGCAGCUAAUGUUACUGGUGUCUGUCUCAGAUUGGAUGGCCAGAGGGCUGUUGGGAGCCUUCUGACGGAGCAGCUCAGCUUCCGGAAGCCUGUGCUGUGGAAAUGCUUUUGGAGAGGUGCCCUCCUGCCUCUGGCUCUGGACUUGCCUAGGAGGUCCUGGUGCUCACUCUCUGUCCCACUUCAGACACCCUGAACAUGCUGUCACUCAUAGUUGCCUUUAAGUUCUGAAUUCCUUCCUGCCCCUGUUCUGUCCUAUUUUCAGCCUGACUCUGAUGCUGACAUUCCUCUCUGUUGUUCAAACUACUGCAUCCACUCCACCUCACCAUGCCUGGUUCCUAGCUCCUGCUGUGUUCUUCACUGCCUCAGACACAGUUGCCCUGGUUCUCCCAGGCACAGAUCCUGGACCACGGUUCACUGAAUGAAUGCCCUGUUCAGCCCACCCCAGCUCCUCAGCAAGAUUUGGUUUUGAUUUUCCUGGGUGUUUAGCAAACACCCAGGCAUGGACCCACCUACCCCUGACUUCUGCCCCAGACUCCUGACGGAGAGUCCUCCUGAGCUGUCUCCACCUUCUCCAGGGCUCUGAAACGUCCUGAGGGGCUUACAGACUGCAAGAAGAUUCAGGAAAAGGGACAGGGGCAAUGUUGCUCCCAUCCCCCAUAUCUUCCUUUCCAGUCUGUCGCCUUCUCUUCCAGUUACAGUCCUGUCUUGUCUUGCACAGCAGAGUUGGCUUGGGGUAUGGCAGUGCAGGAGGUGACGCUGUCCUUCCAACAAAAACUAACUCUAUUUCUCAUGCCCCGUAGCCUCCCCCUUCUGAGCCCUCUCCUUUCUCCCUCAUCUUGCCACCACUGGGGACUUUUUCCCCAGAACAACUGCACUUAUCUAAUAUCAGUCAUUUUAUACAUAAGUACAAUUUCAAAAUCAGUUUUUACCUCUCUGGAGUCAUUUUCUUUUUUUAAUAUUAGGGAAUUAGGGAAUGGAAUGAUUGGCCUCAGGAUGUAGGUUAGAGAGAUAUACUGUCUGCAUGCUGGAAAUCACAAGACUGCCUUCGCAGAAUACUGGUUCUCCCUGCCACAUUAAGUAGGAAUGCAAAUGAGGGAGACUCAAGUUAUUCUGUGCCUCUGGCUUGACUGCCAGGCGGUGAAGUGGGGGUAAGCAGAGCUCAUAUUUCAAAAAAGUUCUACCUGGAGCUAACCAUUUGGUACUUCAGUUAUGCCUCUUACCAGCUAGAUUUUCAUUUCAUUUUUUAAUGUUUUUAUUUCUUAUAUUGCAAAAUGACAUUAUUGUUUGACUUUACAAUAUGAGAAAGAAGACAAGAAAGUGACCCAGGGCUCUAAUGAUACUUUGUCCCUUUUAACAUUGAUGCUCUGUCAUCAUUCAGACCUGGGAACCCAACCCCUACUGAAAUUAAGGAGAGAUGCUAGUAGGUGUAGCAGUGGGUACCAGGGCCCUCUGCCUGGCAAGAUAGAGAGCUGUGACGGGAAAAGUGACUGAAAGAAAGCCACCAGUCAAGUAAGAGAAAGGCACUGCUGGCUAGGGAAUACUCAGUUUUCUCAAAGUUGUAAAAAAUCUUUUGUUAACUAAGUUAUAAACCUCUUUGGACCACUUGGUCUGUGGCAUUCACCAGAGCUGCCCACAAAAGAUGCUCAUGGGAGGUCACAGGAGCAGUCUCUCUUAAUUGGCUGAUGCAUACACACUCGGUGGUAGGAAGAAGGACUCAGGUGUAGCACCAUCUACACCUGAGUCCAGUUCUAGGCACUCCUUUCUCAGCAGGAAACUUUCUUGGCAUGGAAACAGAGUUGCAUAUUAGGGAACUGGGAUCCAUCAGCCAUCCUUGCAUUUCUCAUACACAUCAUCACCCCUUCCCAGCAGAACCUCCUUGGACUUCUCCACAUAAAACUGCAUCCUCUCUCUCUCUCUCUCUCUCUCUCUCUCUCUCUCUCUCUCUCUCACACACACACACACACACACACACACACACACACACACCCUUAUAAUGAAUUAACUAAUGAACUAAACUUCUAUUUCACUGUUUAUUCCUGUCUCCUCUACUUACCACACAGAAUAUAAAGCCAUGAAAGUAGGGGUUUUAAAUAUGUUUUGUUUCUUGCUAUUUCCCCAAUGCCUAGCACAGUGCCUGGCACACAGGACAUGCUCAAUUAAAAUAUGGUGAUUGAUGAAAUGAAUCCAUUAAAAUUGUUAACCCUCUGGAAAUGUAUA